UAGGGAAUCUUCGGCAAUGGGGGCAACCCUGACCGAGCAACGCCGCGUGAGUGAAGAAGGUUUUCGGAUCGUAAAGCUCUGUUGUAAGAGAAGAACGUGUGUGAGAGUGGAAAGUUCACACAGUGACGGUAACUUACCAGAAAGGGACGGCUAACUACGUGCCAGCAGCCGCGGUAAUACGUAGGUCCCGAGCGUUGUCCGGAUUUAUUGGGCGUAAAGCGAUCGCAGGCGGUUUAAUAAGUCUGAAGUUAAAGGCAGUGGCUUAACCAUUGUUAGCUUUGGAAACUGUUAAACUUGAGUGCAGAAGGGGAGAGUGGAAUUCCAUGUGUAGCGGUGAAAUGCGUAGAUAUAUGGAGGAACACCGGUGGCGAAAGCGGCUCUCUGGUCUGUAACUGACGCUGAGGCUCGAAAGCGUGGGGAGCAAACAGG
This 429-nucleotide ribosomal RNA is filed under the name bacterium. Its description in RNAcentral is "partial 16S ribosomal RNA". It matches the Rfam family "Bacterial small subunit ribosomal RNA", at positions 355 to 776 of the family's 1533-position model. The record is from RNAcentral.